Molecule: unclassified non-coding RNA, 20 nt
Filed under: Mus musculus (house mouse)
Lineage: Eukaryota; Metazoa; Chordata; Mammalia; Rodentia; Muridae
Description: oocyte_clustered_small_RNA12581
Source: RNAcentral
UUGGGUGGUGGUACAGAGGU